This 253-nucleotide ribosomal RNA is filed under the name uncultured bacterium. Its description in RNAcentral is "partial 16S ribosomal RNA". It matches the Rfam family "Bacterial small subunit ribosomal RNA", at positions 524 to 776 of the family's 1533-position model. The record is from RNAcentral.
UACGUAGGGGGCAAGCGUUAUCCGGAUUUACUGGGUGUAAAGGGAGCGUAGACGGCAGCGCAAGUCUGGAGUGAAAUGCCGGGGCCCAACCCCGGAACUGCUUUGGAAACUGUGCAGCUCGAGUGCAGGAGAGGUAAGCGGAACUCCUAGUGUAGCGGUGAAAUGCGUAGAUAUUAGGAGGAACACCAGUGGCGAAGGCGGCUUACUGGACUGUAACUGACGUUGAGGCUCGAAAGCGUGGGGAGCAAACAGG